RNAcentral lists this long non-coding RNA (823 nucleotides) under Heterocephalus glaber (naked mole-rat). RNAcentral's name for it is "lncRNA (ENSHGLG00100051498.1)". Lineage: Eukaryota; Metazoa; Chordata; Mammalia; Rodentia; Bathyergidae. The record is from RNAcentral.
GGAGGUGAUGACUGUAUCCUCCAGGUGGCUGUGGUGGCUUUCUUGGGAGAAGCUUGGCUGGCUGAGAUGUCCUCUGGUGAUGCUGUUUUGACUUGCUGUCCCCUCAGCUUGCUUCAGAACUUGAGUGGAAUAUUCCAGGCAACCUUGAUGUGGUCUGGUCCCUGGAACACUCAAAAGUGCUUUGAGAACUUUUCCUGGAAGAAAUAAAGGGAGAGAAAUAGAUGAAGAACUAGCUGUGCCGCGUGACGGAGGUUUAACCUCAGGACAUGGUGCCUGGAUGAGAGGUCCUGCUCCCUAUGUAGACAGUGCUGAGUGAGACUGUCCACACUCACCACCAUGGAGGUGGGAAGUGGAUUACAAACCCCUGUGCACAGGGUGCACACGGGCCACAGCUCCUUCCCCACUGCACACAGAUGUCCAGAACAUUACCUGGUAGCCUCUUUCAUAUUACAAACUUCUGGAGGAAGAGAUGAAAAAUUUCAAAUUUGCUCUGCAGAACAAAAAUUGUCCCUUUAAAGAUGAAUGUGCAGCUGUGCCCAGUGCUGAUGGAGUCAUAGCACAGACCAGGGAUUAGUAAACGGUGUGUGCCCCAUUAAGACUAAACAAGCCCCUGCUCAUUAGAGCCCUAAUUGCAGUGGUUAUAUCAAAGCCCCACAGACCUCACCAGUGUCUAGUUCAGCUCUGUGUGUUACAUAGGUGCCUGGCGUCAUCUUCCCACCUGCUGAAAUGAAAGAUUCUUGGAAUAUCCAUGUGUGUAAAACAUGUUUGUGAUGCAAAUAUGAAGGUACCCUUUCAUCCCGUCCCCACUUUGAUGUCAUGGUAG